Molecule: ribosomal RNA, 500 nt
Filed under: uncultured bacterium
Lineage: Bacteria
Description: partial 16S ribosomal RNA
Rfam family: Bacterial small subunit ribosomal RNA
Source: RNAcentral
AUUGAACGCUGGCGGCAGGCCUAACACAUGCAAGUCGAGCGGAUGAGAGGAGCUUGCUCUUCGAUUCAGCGGCGGACGGGUGAGUAAUGCCUAGGAAUCUGCCUAGCAGUGGGGGACAACGUUUCGAAAGGAACGCUAAUACCGCAUACGUCCUACGGGAGAAAGUGGGGGAUCUUCGGACCUCACGCUAUUAGAUGAGCCUAGGUCGGAUUAGCUAGUUGGUAGGGUAACGGCCUACAAAGGCGACAAUCCGUAACUGGUCUGAGAGGAUGAUCAGUCAGACUGGAACUGAGACACGGUCCAGACUCCUACAGGGGGCAGCAGUGGGGAAUAUUGGACAAUGGGCGAAAGCCUGAUCCAGCCAUGCCGCGUGUGUGAAGAAGGCCCUCGGGUCGUAAAGCACUUUAAGUUGGGAGGAAGGGCUUACAGCGAAUACCUGUGAGUUUUGACGUUACCGACAGAAUAAGCACCGGCUAACUUCGUGCCAGCCGCCGCAGUAA